This 24-nucleotide non-coding RNA is filed under the name Arabidopsis thaliana (thale cress). The record is from RNAcentral. Lineage: Eukaryota; Viridiplantae; Streptophyta; Magnoliopsida; Brassicales; Brassicaceae.
AUGUAGGUGUGGUGAAUGUGUUUU